UGGUUCUGGCAUCGAUGAAGAACGCAGCGAAAUGCGAUAAGUAAUGUGAAUUGCAGAAUUCAGUGAAUCAUCGAAUCUUUGAACGCACAUUGCGCCCUUUGGCAUUCCGAAGGGCAUGCCCGUUCGAGCGUCAUUAAAACCCCUCAAGCCUCGCUUGGUGUUGGGCGUCGGGCGUCGGCCCGCGCCUCUAUUCUAUCGGCUGGACGGUUGGUCAUCUCAGCGUUGUGCAAACGAACCGCUCGGAGGAUCGCCGGACGCGCCGUUAAACCCCCAUCAAAGGUUGACCUCGGAUCGGGUAGGGAUACCCGCUGA
Molecule: unclassified non-coding RNA, 312 nt
Filed under: uncultured fungus
Lineage: Eukaryota; Fungi
Description: partial contains 5.8S ribosomal RNA and internal transcribed spacer 2
Rfam family: 5.8S ribosomal RNA (bases 1-133)
Source: RNAcentral